CACACCGCCGACGCACGUCGUGCCAUCCCCGGAGGAGCAGCUGGUGGAGCUCAGCCCGUCCUACCCCUCUCCGAUUUGUUUUGCUAGACCGCCUAGCCUCCUCCACCUCUUCAUCGUCACCAAGGACGCCGGCCAGCAACAGAACAAUGGCCCUCCUCUUGCUGGAGAAACAAUUAUACAGAAGAUUAGGCCCUAAUAUUGAUGGUCUCCAGGGCUAGGGUUCUGUACUAAGGAGGAAAUAAGACUAGGUUGCAAUCAGUAGUUGCGAACGGCCGGAGGGCCUCGCCUCUGGUACAGGCACCUUGUUGUCGCGUCGUGCCUCUCCGCUGGGUAUAUGUAUAAUGAAGAGCUAAAGGGUUCUUCAGUUUGCAGUAGGCUGUAGCCUUCAUAACUACAGGCAAAGGCAGCUGAGUCCGGAACCAAGAAUGACAGCCUAGGCGGCUUGUUUAUACGAUGUUUCCCUUAUUGCACCUUGGUUGGGCGGUGAGGUUGAGGUGUUGUGCGGCAGGGUAACCAACCAAGGCCUAUUGUGUCCGCUGUCCCUGCAUUGAUGCCACAUCCAACCUAGCUAUCAUGUCGUCGUAGUUGAGGUCUUCCAAAGAUGAAACCAUACUGGAUAAUAAAGUUUAUGAAUCGGGUACAACUCCCAUGGGAAGGCAGCGACAAUGCCUUAUAAAUUUUUAGGUUCCUAAUGGAAUGUUAUCUUUUCCUUGAUUCUGCAAUCCUCAAAGAAAUUACACGAAUUCUGUGAGUGCCCUAGCAUCGACUAUAUAACAUCACCUCUUCUGUGUCUUUCAUUUUUUCUGAAGUUUCUUUGUUUGAAAAAAGAGUAUAUCUAUUUUUUAUUUCUUAAAGAAGUGUCUACAUGCAUUUUCUAUCUAGCAAACCACACAUAUCUUUUGUACUUGGUUGCAGCUUAGAAUGUAAAUAGGUUGCUGUAGCUAUUUAUGCAUUGGAAAAAUAGUGAAUCCCUUUAUGGUUGCUGCAUAUAUAUACGAGGUUAAUGUCCAGGUCCAGUCAUUUUUUGUUUAUGAAAAAU
Long non-coding RNA from Lolium rigidum, 1039 nucleotides. RefSeq lists it as uncharacterized. The transcript has 5 exons. Lineage: Eukaryota; Viridiplantae; Streptophyta; Magnoliopsida; Poales; Poaceae. The record is from RefSeq and is a predicted model, not a curated record.